Molecule: long non-coding RNA, 1826 nt
Filed under: Heterocephalus glaber (naked mole-rat)
Lineage: Eukaryota; Metazoa; Chordata; Mammalia; Rodentia; Bathyergidae
Description: lncRNA (ENSHGLG00100034507.1)
Source: RNAcentral
AUUAAAAGGUAAAACAAUAAUUUUUUUUCACUAAAAUCCCAGUUUUCUUUAUACCCUACACAUUGAAGAACUGGGUUAGAGAGUGCAAGUUCCAACUGGUCAUUUUAAAUCCACAAAGCCACCUGUGACAGGCUGCCACUAAACAAAUGAGCAAUUCCUGCACUCUCCUUAUCUAUAAUUAGCUCUGGAUUGAGGGGCUGUGCGGCCACCCACUCAGGACCACUCUUGGAAAUCCAGGAGCUGUUCUUAACUCUUCCUAUUUCCACUUAAGACUUCAAACCGCCUCCUUUGGUUUGAGACUUCAUCCCUCGAUGUGAGACCAGGAGCUUGGCACAAACAGAAACAGUAUUAUUUGGGGUCCUGCACAUCAAGCUAAGUAUAUCAUUUCCAUGAUGUCAAAAAAAAGACUCAAUUUAUUAACUCACAGAAGACAAUGAAAAUGCCUUUCAUCGCAAAGUUGAUCUGCAAGUGGACCUUUGUACUUCUAACUGGCAGAAGCGCCUGACACGAGUGCCACAGCAGAUGUGCAGAGGUUGCUACCAUUUGACAUCAGGUCCUAACGAGCUGGGUAGAGGAAGGUGUAGGAGGCUGCGCAGUAUAGCGCUCUUCUGUCACGUGUGGACCAUCACCCAUGUGGUUCUACAUUCGGGAACCUAAGUGUUACCUUGACUCUAAUCCAUCAACAAGUUUUGAUUUUACUCUUCAAUUUCUCUUAAGUCCAUCUACUUCUUUUCCACCACUGUCCUAGUCUAUGCCUCCAUCGUCUCUUUCUUGAAAGACAAUAGUUACUCCUAGCUGAACUCUUCUCUCCCUUACUAGCCAUUUCUCCUUUCUUCUCCAGUCUGCCAAGCCUCGGUACAGUUUUCAAAAUGUAAGUUUCACUGCCCAGUCCUUUCCCUAGUCCCCUUUUUUUUUUUUGUACCAGGGAUCAAACUCAGGACCUUGUGCCUACAAGGCAGGUGAUGGAACCACUGAGCUAAAUCCCCAGCCCUCUCUAGUCACCUUUUAAGUGGCUGCUUUUGCUUUUACUUCAACAGGGCUGUCAUGGGGUCUACAGUGUCUUGGGAAACGCCCCCUCCUCCUACCACCACCUGGCCUCUCCUCUGCCCACCUGCACUCUUCACUUUGCUAACUCCUACUAUCCUUCAGAUGGAGCACAUUCCUUUCUUUUCUAUAACCAUCAUUAUCACUUAAAUUUAAUUAAUGUUUAUUUGGGACUCUCAGUUCCAUAAGGGCAGGAAAUGUCUGUUUUGGCUGCAUUGAAUCUCCAUCAAAGAUUAAAUGAAUGAGUAUCUUUAGUACAUUACUGUAUUUUAAAAUACAUACAAGUUUGUACUGCAACACAGAUUCUCUAGCUCUUUGCCUGGAGGUGGGGACUACACAUUACCACCCCCACCCCCAACACUGCACAACACAGACACAUUUCAAGAAGGUCCUAUUUUGUUAUCAUGUAUUAUUUGCUGAAUCUCAUUUCCCCACAGAUUUGUAAGGUUUUCUUGGUUACAGAUCAAAUUUACAUAUAUGCACGAGUCUAUUUCCAUGUCUAUCGAUGGAGAUUACUGUGUCUGCUACUUCAGCUUUAUGAUGUUACUGUCUUCACACUAGCUAACUAGCUUGUCUGAAGAUAGACAAGUCACUUUUGCCCUCUUUUUUAAUCUCUCAAAUGCAUAAUCAUAAUAUCCACAUACAAGGUUGUUUAAAGGAAACAAGCCUGGUAUGUAAAGCCCCAGACAGAAGCCGGUCAGGGUGGCGCACGUGCGCCUGACUAUCUCAACACUCCGGGAGCUGAGGCAGGAAGAUCACCCUGAGUUUCAGGCCACCCUGGG